UUCGGGGGAAAGAAUUUCGGUGAGGGAUCGGCCCGCGUUAGAUUAGUUAGUUGGUGGGGUAAUGGCCUACCAAGACUACGAUCUAUAGCUGGUUUGAGAGGAUGAUCAGCAACACUGGGACUGAGACACGGCCCAGACUCCUACGGGAGGCAGCAGUGGGGAAUCUUAGACAAUGGGGGCAACCCUGAUCUAGCGAUGCCGCGUGAGUGAUGAAGGCCUUAGGGUCGUAAAGCUCUUUCGCCUGUGAUGAUAAUGACAGUAGCAGGUAAAGAAACCCCGGCUAACUCCGUGCCAGCAGCCGCGGUAAUACGGAGGGGGUUAGCGUUGUUCGGAAUUACUGGGCGUAAAGCGCACGUAGGCGGAUUAGUCAGUCAGAGGUGAAAUCCCAGGGCUCAACCCUGGAACUGCCUUUGAUACUGCUAGUCUUGAGUUCGAGAGAGGUAAGUGGAAUUCCGAGUGUAGAGGUGAAAUUCGUAGAUAUUCGGAGGAACACCAGUGGCGAAGGCGGCUUACUGGCUCGAUACUGACGCUGAGGUGCGAAAGUGUGGGGAGCAAACAGGAUUAGAUACCCUGGU
RNAcentral lists this ribosomal RNA (575 nucleotides) under Celeribacter sp. RNAcentral's name for it is "bacterial SSU rRNA". It matches the Rfam family "Bacterial small subunit ribosomal RNA", at positions 195 to 791 of the family's 1533-position model. Lineage: Bacteria; Pseudomonadati; Pseudomonadota; Alphaproteobacteria; Rhodobacterales; Roseobacteraceae. The record is from RNAcentral.